AUACGGAGGGUGCAAGCGUUACUCGGAAUCACUGGGCGUAAAGGACGCGUAGGCGGGUUGGUAAGUCAGGUGUGAAAUCCUACAGCUUAACUGUAGAACUGCACUUGAAACUACCAACCUAGAGUAUGGGAGGGGGAGAUGGAAUUAGUGGUGUAGGGGUAAAAUCCGUAGAUAUCACUAGGAAUACCGAAAGCGAAGGCGAUCUCCUGGAACAUAACUGACGCUAAGGCGUGAAAGCGUGGGGAGCAAACAGGAUUAGAUACCCCGGUAGUCC
This 274-nucleotide ribosomal RNA is filed under the name uncultured bacterium. RNAcentral's name for it is "partial 16S ribosomal RNA". It matches the Rfam family "Bacterial small subunit ribosomal RNA", at positions 523 to 796 of the family's 1533-position model. The record is from RNAcentral.